UUAGAGGUCGCUCACGGGAAAUCGUGGGAAUAGGCGCAUGUCGAAUGGUGGAAUGCCAACAGGGCACAUGUCGACGGACGGGAGGUCGAUAGGUCCGAGCACCGCCACUGUCGAACAAGUCGCUGCCUGUCGAACGGGGGGAGGACGACAUGUCGCCGCCUGUCGAAUGGGGGAAUGUCGGUAGGUCCCCCCAGGCCAACAGCAUCUGCUUUUGCUUUCACCUUUUGCUUUCGCUUUUGCUUUCGCUUUUCCUUUUGUUUUCGUUUUUCCUUUCGCUUUUGACAGCCUAUAAACCGAACCACGGCUUCGUUUUUGGACCACAUCCCCGAGAAGGCGUACACCAUGUCGCUGUCCGUCGUAGAGUCGCCGGAGGGUGACUGAAGCAGCUAGCACGCCGGAGAGGAGGUUGAGGAGCUGCUGGCUAGCAGUAAAGAGGUGGCCACGGCCUACACCAGUGAAGGUAUGGCUGAUCAGACUGCAGUGCAGCAAUUGAUUGACCCAGACACUGAUCAGAACCACCGAUCGCGUCAUCUUAGUACAGGGACUUUCUGCAAUGCCCUAAAGAUGCGAGGACCGGAUCAAUAUUGGCGUACUAAUCCUCGUUGGAUUCCAAGGUUGAGAGCAGUUGGGCUGUUGACCUUUGCACGGCUGGUCGAGCCUUCACGUGGAAGGUCCGAAAGAAUCCUAAUUGACGGGCGCUUCUUAGUGCUCUUGUGGAUAUAUGGAGGCCAGAGACUCACACUUUCCACCUAACAGUUGGAGAGAUGGUGCCCAAUUUGCAGGAUGUGUCUUAUUUGUUGGGGCUGCCGCUAGCUGGGCCAGCAGUUGGCCCAAUUGUGGUACAUGCUAGAUGGGUCGAUGACCUUCUUGCCAGUUUUGCAGGUGUGCUACCCGAUGGACUUAAUGAUCUCACAGAUGGCCAUGGACCAACGAAGACCUGGCUCAAUCAGUUUCGGUAGGAUGUCUUCCCUGAUGACCAGGACGAGUGGAUACAGCAACGGCACUUAGUCGCUUACCUCCUGUGGUUGUUCGGAUGGGUGAUGUUCACGGGAACACAUGCCGACUUCGUGGACAAGCACUUCAUCCACUACACGGAGGAGAUUGCAACAUUGCCUAUGGACGAUAUUCCAUAGUACAGUUGGGGGUCGGCGGUACUUGCGGCAAUGAACGCUGGACUGUGCGAUGCUUGCGUGAGGAACAACAAGCAAAGUUCACUAAUAGGAUGUCCGUUGCUGCUUAUGUUAUGGGCACAUGAGCGGUUCGACAUUGGGAGACCUUAGCUCGACUCGUACGCAAGCUAUAGGGUGUCCGAGAUGUAUACAUCCAGUGUCGAUGACAUCGACGAUCGUCCCACUAUGGGAUAGUUGUGGACGCACCGUGAGGUUAUCUUAGUUCAAUUCUUUUGUAUUGUCAUUAUGAACGGUUUAGUACUAGUGAUAUA
Long non-coding RNA from Oryza brachyantha (malo sina), 1441 nucleotides. RefSeq lists it as uncharacterized. The record is from RefSeq and is a predicted model, not a curated record. NCBI's taxonomy places the organism in Eukaryota, Viridiplantae, Streptophyta, Magnoliopsida, Poales, Poaceae. The transcript has 3 exons.